Molecule: long non-coding RNA, 282 nt
Filed under: Sorghum bicolor (sorghum)
Lineage: Eukaryota; Viridiplantae; Streptophyta; Magnoliopsida; Poales; Poaceae
Description: long non-coding RNA (SBIC_LNC004370)
Source: RNAcentral
GGGAACAGAUGUAGUUGAGCGCGGCACACCAUCCGCCGAAGAUGCACAACAGGAUGGGAGAGUAGUAGAAAUCACUUGCAAACCAGAGCUCGUCCCCCAGGACACGGAACACCCUGUCGGCGCUGACCACCGCGCCCCCGGUGCCGGCGCUGUGCAUGCCUCUGAGCACGAAGCUAAGCGCCUGGACGGACGACCCAGCGUCGGCGAGGGGGUACCCUGACAGACCCCGCCGCAGGAUCUUGAACAGAGAGUAGGAGAGGCAGAGGUCCCUGAGCUCCACCC